CUGGCGUCUCCCACCCACUAGCAUCUGCGGAUGGUGGCUUUCUGUGGGUUCCCAUGCUGAUGAUUCACAGCCUGGACCGCACGCCGGUCAUUUACGAGCUGACGCCGAACCGUGGCACCGCU
Molecule: small nuclear RNA, 122 nt
Filed under: Polarella glacialis
Lineage: Eukaryota; Dinophyceae; Suessiales; Suessiaceae
Description: partial Dictyostelium signal recognition particle
Source: RNAcentral